UACGGGAGGCAGCAGUGGGGAAUAUUGCACAAUGGGCGCAAGCCUGAUGCAGCCAUGCCGCGUGUAUGAAAAAGGCCUUCGGGUUGUAAAGUACUUUCAGUCGUGAGGAAGGUGUUAAGGUUAAUAACCUUAGCAAUUGACGUUAGCGACAGAAGAAGCACCGGCUAACUCCGUGCCAGCAGCCGCGGUAAUACGGAGGGUGCGAGCGUUAAUCGGAAUUACUGGGCGUAAAGGGCACGCAGGCGGUUAAUUAAGUUGGAUGUGAAAUCCCCGGGCUUAACCUGGGAAUGGCAUUCAAGACUGGUUAGCUAGAGUCUUGUAGAGGGGGUAGAAUUCCAUGUGUAGCGGUGAAAUGCGUAGAGAUGUGGAGGAAUACCGGUGGCGAAGGCGGCCCCUGGACAAAGACUGACGCUCAUGUGCGAAAGCGUGGGGAGCAAACGAGGAUUAGAUA
This 451-nucleotide ribosomal RNA is filed under the name uncultured bacterium. RNAcentral's name for it is "bacterial SSU rRNA". It matches the Rfam family "Bacterial small subunit ribosomal RNA", at positions 340 to 784 of the family's 1533-position model. The record is from RNAcentral.